Molecule: small nuclear RNA, 107 nt
Organism: Hypanus sabinus (Atlantic stingray)
Lineage: Eukaryota; Metazoa; Chordata; Chondrichthyes; Myliobatiformes; Dasyatidae
Source: RefSeq, a predicted model, not a curated record
GUGCUCGCUUCGGCAGCACAUACACUAAAAUUGGAACGAUACAGAGAAGAUUAGCAUGGCCCCUACGCAAAAAAGACUGACAAACAACCAAUAUGCAGAAAGAGAGA